ACAACUCUAAUCUAUAAUGGACAAACCCUGACCUUCUUCAUUUCAGUUCAAGGUUCCUUAGAAUAUGUCCCAAAUAAUUGUAUGACAAGAGUACAUGCAAUUGUCAUGUCCAAUAUGUUGGAGAAGUGAAGAACCAGUAAGAGCAAUGUGUUGAUCAUGUCAUCUAGUAUAAUCAUCAUUUUGCCAAAUCAAAUAUGAAAUGAGAAUAUCUUUACUAGAUUAUUGGUCAAAUGAUUGCACUCAAGCCUCUAGUGCUUCUAGAGUAAAAUUUUGCAACUUCUUGCCGUAGACAACCAGCUUCAGCGUGAGACCCUUAUGCAAAC
Molecule: long non-coding RNA, 323 nt
Filed under: Cicer arietinum (chickpea)
Lineage: Eukaryota; Viridiplantae; Streptophyta; Magnoliopsida; Fabales; Fabaceae
Description: long non-coding RNA (CARI_LNC000089)
Source: RNAcentral